This 254-nucleotide ribosomal RNA is filed under the name uncultured bacterium. RNAcentral describes it as "partial 16S ribosomal RNA". It matches the Rfam family "Bacterial small subunit ribosomal RNA", at positions 524 to 776 of the family's 1533-position model. The record is from RNAcentral.
UACGUAGGGGGCAAGCGUUGUCCGGAAUCAUUGGGCGUAAAGCGCGUGUAGGCGGCUUGGUAAGUCCGCUCUGAAAGCCCGGGGCUCAACCUCGAGACGCCGAUGGAAACCAUCUGACUAGAGUCCGGAAGAGGAGAGUGGAAUUCCUGGUGUAGCGGUGAAAUGCGCAGAUAUCAGGAAGAACACCGGUGGCGAAGGCGGGUCUCUGGGCCGUAAGCUGACGCUGAGGAGCGAAAGCGUGGGGAGCGAACAGG